AACGAACGCUGGCGGCGCGCCUAAUACAUGCAAGUCGAGCGAGAAGACGUAGCAAUACGUUUGUAAAGCGGCGAACGGGUGAGGAAUACAUGGGUAACCUACCCUCGAGUGGGGAAUAACUAGCCGAAAGGUUAGCUAAUACCGCGUACGCUCCUUGGACUUCGGUUCAGGGAGGAAAGCGAUACCGUGGGUAUCGCGCUCUUGGAUGGGCUCAUGUCCUAUCA
Molecule: ribosomal RNA, 224 nt
Filed under: uncultured bacterium
Lineage: Bacteria
Description: partial 16S ribosomal RNA
Rfam family: Bacterial small subunit ribosomal RNA
Source: RNAcentral